Molecule: ribosomal RNA, 992 nt
Filed under: Apilactobacillus kunkeei
Lineage: Bacteria; Bacillati; Bacillota; Bacilli; Lactobacillales; Lactobacillaceae
Description: bacterial SSU rRNA
Rfam family: Bacterial small subunit ribosomal RNA
Source: RNAcentral
UAAUGCAAGUCGAACGAGCUCUCCCAAAUUGAUUUUAUGCUUGCAUAAAUGAUUUUUGGAUUCGGAGCGAGUGGCGAACUGGUGAGUAACACGUGGGUAACCUGCCCCGAAGCGGGGGAUAACAUUUGGAAACAAGUGCUAAUACCGCAUAAUUAGUUGGAACCGCAUGGUUCCAACUUGAAAGAUGGCUCUGCUAUCACUUUGGGAUGGACCCGCGCCGUAUUAGUUAGUUGGUGAGAUAAAAGCCCACCAAGACGAUGAUACGUAGCCGACCUGAGAGGGUAAUCGGCCACAUUGGGACUGAGACACGGCCCAGACUCCUACGGGAGGCAGCAGUAGGGAAUCUUCCACAAUGGACGAAAGUCUGAUGGAGCAACGCCGCGUGAGUGAUGAAGGUUUUCGGAUCGUAAAACUCUGUUGUUAAAGAAGAACAAGUGUUAGAGUAACUGUUAACACUUUGACGGUAUUUAACCAGAAAGCCACGGCUAACUACGUGCCAGCAGCCGCGGUAAUACGUAGGUGGCAAGCGUUGUCCGGAUUUAUUGGGCGUAAAGCGAGCGCAGGCGGUUUUGUAAGUCUGCUGUGAAAGCCCUCAGCUCAACUGAGGAAGUGCAGUGGAAACUACAAAACUUGAGUACAGAAGAGGAAAGUGGAACUCCAUGUGUAGCGGUGAAAUGCGUAGAUAUAUGGAAGAACACCAGUGGCGAAGGCGGCUUUCUGGUCUGUUACUGACGCUGAGGCUCGAAAGCAUGGGUAGCGAACAGGAUUAGAUACCCUGGUAGUCCAUGCCGUAAACGAUGAAUACUAGGUGUUGGAGGGUUUCCGCCCUUCAGUGCCGCAGCUAACGCAUUAAGUAUUCCGCCUGGGGAGUACGACCGCAAGGUUGAAACUCAAAGGAAUUGACGGGGGCCCGCACAAGUGGUGGAGCAUGUGGUUUAAUUCGAUGCUACGCGAAGACCUUACCAGCUCUUGACAUCUUCUGCCAACCCAAG